UACGAAGGGGGCUAGCGUUGCUCGGAAUCACUGGGCGUAAAGGGUGCGUAGGCGGGUCUUUAAGUCAGAGGUGAAAUCCUGGAGCUCAACUCCAGAACUGCCUUUGAUACUGAAGAUCUUGAGUUCGGGAGAGGUGAGUGGAACUGCGAGUGUAGAGGUGAAAUUCGUAGAUAUUAGGAAGAACACCAGUGGCGAAGGCGGCUCACUGGCCCGGUACUGACGCUGAGGCGCGAAAGCGUGGGGAGCAAACAGG
Molecule: ribosomal RNA, 253 nt
Filed under: uncultured bacterium
Lineage: Bacteria
Description: partial 16S ribosomal RNA
Rfam family: Bacterial small subunit ribosomal RNA
Source: RNAcentral